UUUAAAAAGAUAUUUAAUGGUAGCCAAUGUAAAUCAAGGAGAUUUUGUAUAAUGGACAGUGAGUCUCAAAAAUGUUGACUUAAGCAAUUAUAGGUGUAAAUUGUACAGCCUUCAACAAUAAGAAAAACCCAUUGUGUAUAGUCAGCCUUAAAAGGACCAGAUAUUAAAAUAGAAACAAAACAAAAAAACAUAAUUUAUGAGCAAACAAUCAACGAAAAACAGAUAUAACAUACAGCAACCAAUGACAACCACUCAAUUACAGGCUCAUAGAGAAUGUGGAGUGGUUAAACAUGUUUGUAAGUGCAUUAUAUGAGAGUACUCAGUUAAUGAGAAAAUAAAUAUUCUGCCCGAAUCAAACAGUACACAUCAAAUGGAUUUUGGGCACAGAUGUAAAAAAAACAACAACAUAUAAGUGAUGUUGGGAAUUAAUGCAGUAACUAUAAUAGAUCAAGAGAAACCAAGAAUCAGAAUAAGGUACACACAUGAUAAUGCAUGACUUAUUGUCAAUUAACCCCUGGAAGCAGUUAAAGAUCAGGCGUUUUUUUAAGUUCAGAAAUAAUUUAAAAGACAAACUGAUAACAAUAAAAAUUGUCAAAAAUAAAAGAUUCAACCAUUGGAUGUAAAGAGACAUUGCCUUUCAUGAUGAUUUGAAGACUUCGUGUUCCAGACAAUCAUUAAUACCAUGAUGGGCAUGGUAGAAAAAGUUAACAGCAA
Molecule: long non-coding RNA, 714 nt
Filed under: Mytilus galloprovincialis (Mediterranean mussel)
Lineage: Eukaryota; Metazoa; Mollusca; Bivalvia; Mytilida; Mytilidae
Source: RNAcentral